This 207-nucleotide ribosomal RNA is filed under the name uncultured bacterium. RNAcentral describes it as "partial 16S ribosomal RNA". It matches the Rfam family "Bacterial small subunit ribosomal RNA", at positions 568 to 774 of the family's 1533-position model. The record is from RNAcentral.
UGCGUAGGCGGUUAUAUUAGUUAAGUGUUAAAUCUUUGGGCUCAACCCAAAGGCUGCACUUAAAACGGUAUAACUAGAAGGAGUGAGAGGUGUACGGAACUCAAGGUGUAGGGGUGAAAUCCGUUGAUAUCUUGAGGAACACCAAAUGCGAAGGCAGUACACUGGCACUUUCUUGACGCUGAGGCACGAAAGCGUGGGUAGCGAAUG